RNAcentral lists this ribosomal RNA (1483 nucleotides) under Streptococcus sp. WM38. Its description in RNAcentral is "bacterial SSU rRNA". It matches the Rfam family "Bacterial small subunit ribosomal RNA". Lineage: Bacteria; Bacillati; Bacillota; Bacilli; Lactobacillales; Streptococcaceae. The record is from RNAcentral.
UGGCUCAGGACGAACGCUGGCGGCGUGCCUAAUACAUGCAAGUAGAACGCUGAAGAGAGGAGCUUGCUCUUCUUGGAUGAGUUGCGAACGGGUGAGUAACGCGUAGGUAACCUGCCUUGUAGCGGGGGAUAACUAUUGGAAACGAUAGCUAAUACCGCAUAACAAUGGAUGACACAUGUCAUUUAUUUGAAAGGGGCAAUUGCUCCACUACAAGAUGGACCUGCGUUGUAUUAGCUAGUAGGUGAGGUAACGGCUCACCUAGGCGACGAUACAUAGCCGACCUGAGAGGGUGAUCGGCCACACUGGGACUGAGACACGGCCCAGACUCCUACGGGAGGCAGCAGUAGGGAAUCUUCGGCAAUGGGGGCAACCCUGACCGAGCAACGCCGCGUGAGUGAAGAAGGUUUUCGGAUCGUAAAGCUCUGUUGUAAGUCAAGAACGAGUGUGAGAGUGGAAAGUUCACACUGUGACGGUAGCUUACCAGAAAGGGACGGCUAACUACGUGCCAGCAGCCGCGGUAAUACGUAGGUCCCGAGCGUUGUCCGGAUUUAUUGGGCGUAAAGCGAGCGCAGGCGGUUUGAUAAGUCUGAAGUUAAAGGCUGUGGCUCAACCAUAGUUCGCUUUGGAAACUGUCAAACUUGAGUGCAGAAGGGGAGAGUGGAAUUCCAUGUGUAGCGGUGAAAUGCGUAGAUAUAUGGAGGAACACCGGUGGCGAAAGCGGCUCUCUGGUCUGUAACUGACGCUGAGGCUCGAAAGCGUGGGGAGCGAACAGGAUUAGAUACCCUGGUAGUCCACGCCGUAAACGAUGAGUGCUAGGUGUUGGAUCCUUUCCGGGAUUCAGUGCCGCAGCUAACGCAUUAAGCACUCCGCCUGGGGAGUACGACCGCAAGGUUGAAACUCAAAGGAAUUGACGGGGGCCCGCACAAGCGGUGGAGCAUGUGGUUUAAUUCGAAGCAACGCGAAGAACCUUACCAGGUCUUGACAUCCCGAUGCUAUUUCUAGAGAUAGAAAGUUACUUCGGUACAUCGGUGACAGGUGGUGCAUGGUUGUCGUCAGCUCGUGUCGUGAGAUGUUGGGUUAAGUCCCGCAACGAGCGCAACCCCUAUUGUUAGUUGCCAUCAUUCAGUUGGGCACUCUAGCGAGACUGCCGGUAAUAAACCGGAGGAAGGUGGGGAUGACGUCAAAUCAUCAUGCCCCUUAUGACCUGGGCUACACACGUGCUACAAUGGUUGGUACAACGAGUUGCGAGUCGGUGACGGCAAGCUAAUCUCUUAAAGCCAAUCUCAGUUCGGAUUGUAGGCUGCAACUCGCCUACAUGAAGUCGGAAUCGCUAGUAAUCGCGGAUCAGCACGCCGCGGUGAAUACGUUCCCGGGCCUUGUACACACCGCCCGUCACACCACGAGAGUUUGUAACACCCGAAGUCGGUGAGGUAACCUUUUGGAGCCAGCCGCCUAAGGUGGGAUAGAUGAUUGGGGUGAAGUC